AAAAACAUUUCCUCUUGGUAUAAGAGGUAAGGCCUGCUCACUGACUAGGUUGAAGAGCCGCAGUAUAUUGACUGUGCUAAGGUAGCAUAAUCAUUAGUCCUUUAAUUGGGGACUGGUAUGAAUGGCUAAACGAGAAAUUAACUUUUUUUGUUAUGGUUUGUUGAAUUUAACUUGUAAGUGAAAAGGCUUACAUGAUUCAGAAAGACGAGAAGACCCUAUAGAGUUUUACAAAGGCCUAAAAUACAGCUUAUUAGUUUUUAAGGGUUAUAUUUUGGAAAUUUGUUUGGUUGGGGCGACAUAAAGAUAAAAAAAACUCUUUGUAGUAUAAACUUUGGUGGAAGAAAAGGUUUGAUCCUCUAAAAGGGAUUAUAAGAAAAAAUUACCUUAGGGAUAACAGCGUAAUCUUCUUUUAGAGUUCAAAUCGACAAGAAGGUUUGCGACCUCGAUGUUGGACUAAAAUUUGGGCAAGGUGCAGCAGCUUUGUUUUUGGGUCUGUUCGACCCGUAAUAUUUUACAUGAUCUGAGUU
RNAcentral lists this ribosomal RNA (527 nucleotides) under Capitulum mitella. RNAcentral describes it as "partial large subunit ribosomal RNA". It matches the Rfam family "Bacterial large subunit ribosomal RNA", at positions 1809 to 2611 of the family's 2925-position model. Lineage: Eukaryota; Metazoa; Arthropoda; Thecostraca; Pollicipedomorpha; Pollicipedidae. The record is from RNAcentral.